GGCUCAGAACGAACGCUGGCGGCGUGCUUAACACAUGCAAGUCGAACGCGAAAGGGACUUCGGUCCUGAGUAAAGUGGCGCACGGGUGAGUAACGCGUAGAUAACCUGUCUUCAUGUCUGGAAUAAUACGCCGAAAGGGGUACUAAUACCGGAUAUUCUUGCUUUUCAUAAGUUAUGCAAGCAAAGGUGGCCUCUGCAUAUGCUACUGCAUGAAGAGGGGUCUGCGUACCAUUAGCUAGUAGGUGGGGUAAUGGCCUACCUAGGCGACGAUGGUUAGCGGGUCUGAGAGGAUGAUCCGCCACACUGGCACUGGAACACGGGCCAGACUCCUACGGGAGGCAGCAGUGAGGAAUAUUGCGCAAUGGGGGAAACCCUGACGCAGCGACGCCGCGUGAAGUGAGGAAGGCCUUCGGGUCGUAAAGCUCUGUCAAGAGGAAAGAAGUGUACAAUGGCUAAUACCUGUUGUAUUUGACGGUACCUCUAAAGGAAGCACCGGCUAACUCCGUGCCAGCCGCUGC
RNAcentral lists this ribosomal RNA (518 nucleotides) under uncultured bacterium. RNAcentral's name for it is "bacterial SSU rRNA". It matches the Rfam family "Bacterial small subunit ribosomal RNA", at positions 21 to 518 of the family's 1533-position model. The record is from RNAcentral.